CGGAGUCAAGUUCGUCUAAAGGAUUCACUAGUUAUCAAAAAAUAUAUACAAAUGGACAAUUCUUGAUGAAUAGCAUUACCGGAGUAUUGUGGACAUAGAUAGUCUGCAAUGUGAAAUAAAAAAAAACAAUCAAUGGAUUACACGAAAUCAAUGCAGCCCAUGUCUUCUGGUGGUGCCAUCCAACGGAAAUCAACUCGGCGUUCAUCGGUGGGUCGUCGUUUUGCGUAAGAAUGCAAAAUGGUGCACAUUUUUCGUUGACGCUGAGAAGUCUUUUGUUAUUGAGAAGAAUGGAAAACUUCAUAGAUGGAAUCAAACCAGCUUAAUAGCAAGUUAUUGUUAAAUUACUUGUUUGACGAUGGAGCCACUUGGAGUUGCAGAAUAGACUCCCGUGAUCAUUGCUGAAUCAAAAUCCUCGAGUAAUCUGACAGUAACUGUAUAACAUGAAAUCGUUUUUAUGCAAAAGCUAUACGGUAAUAGUAAAUAAAUUAAAAAUUUUCAUU
Molecule: long non-coding RNA, 500 nt
Organism: Daphnia pulicaria
Lineage: Eukaryota; Metazoa; Arthropoda; Branchiopoda; Diplostraca; Daphniidae
Exons: 2
Source: RefSeq, a predicted model, not a curated record